This 482-nucleotide ribosomal RNA is filed under the name uncultured bacterium. Its description in RNAcentral is "partial 16S ribosomal RNA". It matches the Rfam family "Bacterial small subunit ribosomal RNA", at positions 30 to 507 of the family's 1533-position model. The record is from RNAcentral.
AUUGAACGCUGGCGGCAUGCCUUACACAUGCAAGUCGAACGGUAACGGGCCUUCGGGUGCCGACGAGUGGCGAACGGGUGAGUAAUACAUCGGAACGUGCCCGAUCGUGGGGGAUAACGAGGCGAAAGCUUUGCUAAUACCGCAUACGAUCUACGGAUGAAAGCAGGGGACCGCAAGGCCUUGCGCGGACGGAGCGGCCGAUGGCAGAUUAGGUAGUUGGUGGGAUAAAAGCUUACCAAGCCGACGAUCUGUAGCUGGUCUGAGGGGAUGAUCAGCCACACUGGGACUGAGACACGGCCCAGACUCCUACGGGAGGCAGCAGUGGGGAAUUUUGGACAAUGGGCGCAAGCCUGAUCCAGCCAUGCCGCGUGCAGGAUGAAGGCCUUCGGGUUGUAAACUGCUUUUGUACGGAACGAGAAGCCUUCUUUUAAUACAGGAGGGUCAUGACGGUACCGUAAGAAUAAGCACCGGCUAACUACGUG